CAAUAGCGUAUAUUAACGUUGUUGCAGUUAAAAAGCUCGUAGUUGGAUUUCUGGAGGGAGCGUCGGCCCGUAUUUACGAGUGCGUGACGUCUCUGUCCAUCCUUGCGGGAAGGCACGGCAUUGAUUUGUUGUGUCGGAUCGCAUCAUUUACUGUGAAAAAAUUAGAGUGUUCAAAGCAGGCUUUCGCUUGAAUACAUUAGCAUGGAAUAAUAAGAUAGGACUUUGGUGCUAUUUUGUUGGUUGAGCCUAAAGUAAUGAUUAAUAGGGAUAGUUGGGGGCACCUGUAUUGCGUUGUCAGAGGUGAAAUUCUUGGAUUUACGCAAGACAAACAGCUGCGAAANCGNNNGCCAAGGAUGUCUUCAUNAA
This 366-nucleotide ribosomal RNA is filed under the name uncultured eukaryote. RNAcentral's name for it is "partial 18S ribosomal RNA". It matches the Rfam family "Eukaryotic small subunit ribosomal RNA", at positions 592 to 976 of the family's 1831-position model. The record is from RNAcentral.